AAAAUCAAUUCGGAUCUCUUUUGGUUUGGUUGGGAACUGGAUUUUCCGAAUAUCAAUUCCACUUUUAAGAACUAGAAAUCGGAUGAUCAUUUUCGAAAAUCGAAUUGAACUGUUUUGCUCACCCUUAUUAGUUAGAGCAUUUGGCGCUUGCAAAUUUGCACAAGUGUCAACUUGAUAUAAGAAAUUGAUAUUUGAAAAAAAAUAAUAAUCCAAUUUACUUUAUUACGAAACAUUUCAGCAUAUACGAUACUUUAUUACGAAACAUUUCAGCAUAUACGAUUUGGGAAAAGCAAAGUAUUACAAACAGGCUGUGUAAAUGUAUUUGAAGAGGUAAGGGACCAUUUCAAGGUUUGAAUAUUUUUAAGGAUUUUAGCAGGGCCAAAAGAGAUUCGAAUUUCAAGAGACGAAAUAGAACUUUUAAUUUACUCAUUUGCCAAUAAAUCCGAUACAUAUUAAAUUAGUAUUCAAGGAUAUAUAGCGUUUCUCUUUCGGGUAAGAAAAAAUGGGCAAAAUUCCAUUAUUCUCUAAUAAAACAUGAUUUAUAAAUACCUUGACAGAUCAUCUACCACUAAAGUCUCAUUUACAUCCAAAGAUUGAAGUUCCAACGAUGCUAACCAAUCUGCACAUGAAACUCAUUACCUAAAAGUAUGUACGAUUUUGACCGGUUGAAAAUACUCCAAGAACUAGGAAAAACAAAAAAAAGGGCACAAAACUUGAGAGAGAGAUAGUUGAAGAAGAAAUAAUUUAAAUCCCUUAGAAGUAUGAGGUAUUUUAU
Molecule: long non-coding RNA, 775 nt
Filed under: Eucalyptus grandis
Lineage: Eukaryota; Viridiplantae; Streptophyta; Magnoliopsida; Myrtales; Myrtaceae
Description: long non-coding RNA (EGRA_LNC001077)
Source: RNAcentral